RNAcentral lists this ribosomal RNA (380 nucleotides) under marine copepod environmental sample. RNAcentral describes it as "SSU rRNA". It matches the Rfam family "Eukaryotic small subunit ribosomal RNA", at positions 587 to 972 of the family's 1831-position model. Lineage: Eukaryota; Metazoa; Arthropoda; Copepoda. The record is from RNAcentral.
AGCUCCAAUAGCGUAUAUUAAAGUUGUUGUGGUUAAAAAGCUCGUAGUUGGAUCUCAACAGACUUGGAUCGGUUUACUUUGUGUAAUACUGAUCCAAAGCUGUGCUUUUGUCGGAGGUUUAGGGGUGCUCUUAACCGAGUGUCUCUGAGUGCCGACAGGUUUACUUUGAAAAAAUUAGGGUGCUUAAAGCGGGCUGUUAUGCUCGAAUAUUUGUGCAUGGAAUAAUAGAAAGGAUGUUGUUCUUAUUUUGUUGGUUUUUUAGACUUGACAUAAUGAUUAAUAGGGACAGUCUGGGGCAUUUGUAUUCAACCGACAGAGGUGAUAUUCUUGGACCUUUUGAAGACAAACUACUGCGAAAGCAUUUGCCAAGAAUGUUUUCA